UCCCUGAAGGUCCAGUGGUUGAGACUCUGCACUUCCAGUGUGGAGGGCAUGGGUUCGAUCCCUGGUCGGGGAA
Molecule: non-coding RNA, 73 nt
Organism: Bos taurus (domestic cattle)
Lineage: Eukaryota; Metazoa; Chordata; Mammalia; Artiodactyla; Bovidae
Source: Rfam